Molecule: long non-coding RNA, 5381 nt
Organism: Melospiza georgiana
Lineage: Eukaryota; Metazoa; Chordata; Aves; Passeriformes; Passerellidae
Exons: 2
Source: RefSeq, a predicted model, not a curated record
GGGCGGUCGGAGCCCGAAGGGCAGCGGCAGCAGCGUGCGGCCGUCAGGUGGGUCCCGAGGGGUGGUGGAAGGAGCGCUGGGUGCCCGGGAGGCUCCAGAUGGACGCUGCAGCCUUCAAGGGGAUCGUACAGGCGGGAGCUGGAGCCCAAAAAUCUCCAGCUGGACCCUACAGCCUUCAGCUGGAGUCUGGAGCCAUUCACCAGAGCUUGGGAGCCACCAGAGGGAUCCUAAACCCAGCAAUUCAACGCCAAGAGGCACCAGCUGGACCCUAAACCCAGCAAUCCAACCCCAAGAGCCACCAGAUGGACCCUAAACCCAGCGGUUCAACCCCAAGAGCCACCAGAUGGAUCCUACACCCAGCAACUGAACCCCAAGAGGCACCAGAUGGAUCCUACACCCAGCAAUUGAACCCCAAGGGGUACCAGAGGGACCCUACACCCAGCAAUUCAACCCCAAGGGCCACCACCUGGAUCCCAAACCCAGCAAUUGAACCCCAAGAGCCACCAGAGGGACCCUAAAUCCAGCAAUUGAACCUCAAGAGGUACCAGAUGGAGCCGGCACCUUUCAAUGAGACCCUACAGCCCUCAGUUGAACCCCAAGAGCCUCCAGCUGCACCCUAUACCCAUCAACUGGACCCUACACCCAUUAACCAAACCCCAAGAGCCUCCAGUUGGACCCUACACCCAUCAGCUGGACCCCAAAAGCCUCAGGUUGAAUCCAAUACCUAUCAAUUUGACUUUGCACCCAUUAAUUGGACCUCAAGAGCCCCCAGCCAGACCCUACACCCAUUAAUUGGACCCCAAGAGCCCCCAGCCAGACCCUACACCCAUUAAUUGGACCCCAAGAGCCCCAGCCAGACCCUACACCAUCAAUGGGACCCCAAGAGCCCCAGCCAGACCCUACACCAUCAAUGGGACCCCAAGAGCCCCAGCAUGACCCUACACCCAUUAAUUGGACCCCAAGAGCCCCCAGCCAUACCCUACACCAUCAAUGGGACCCCAAGAGCCCCAGCCAGACCCUACACCCAUUAAUUGGACCCCAAGAGCCUCCAAUUGGACCCUACACCCAUUAAUUUGACCCCAAGAGCCCCAGCCAGACCCUACCCCAUUAAUUGGACCCCAAGAGCCCCUGGCCAGACCCUACACCAUCAAUGGGACCCCAAGAGCCCCCAGCCAGACCCUACACCAUCAAUGGGACCCCAAGAGCCCCAGCCAGACCCUACACCAUCAAUGGGACCCCAAAAGCCCCUGGCCAUACCCUACACCCAUUAAUUGGACCCCAAGAGCCCCCAGCCAGACCCUACACCCAUUAAUUGGACCCCAAGAGCCCCCAGCCAGACCCUACACCCAUUAAUUGGACCCCAAGAGCCUCCAGUUGGACCCUACAUCCAACCACUGGGCCCUACACCCAUCAAACCAACCCCAAAGCCCUCAGCCAGACCCCAGACCCUCCCAGCUGGAACUCAAACCCCUCCAGCUGGACCCUCCAGCCACCAGUUGGACCCUGGAGCUGCCACCUGUCCCUCCUGUCCCAGCUGGACCCCAAGAGCAACACCAACACCCCCCUGCUGUCCCCUGGACCCCAAGAGUCCCCAGCCAGACCCCCAGGACCUCAGAGCUGGAGCCCUCAGCUGAUCCUGCUGAGCUGGGCUUUGGGAACGCCGCUGGAGUGGCCACGGGGACACCGUGGGGACACCGUGGGGACACCGUGGGGACACCGUGGGGACAUUGGGGUGCUCUGGAUGCUGCCGAAGGAGGAGGUUUGGGCGCAGAGGUGGCGGUUCCAGCGCUGCCCUUGGACUCACCUUGGCUGCCGGGAUCCAAACACCGAUUUCCCUCCAGGCAGCGUCUCCUGCUCCCGGUGGAUUCCUGCGGGGUGAAUUCCUGCUCUCCCUGCGUUGCCUCUGCCGGCUGACAUGGAGCCACGUGCCAGGAGCAAAGCUUCCUUCGCCGCCUUUAACUCUGUCCCUCCCUAAAAUCCUACAGUUCCCAGCUCCCCAUCCCACGGGCAGCACCUCACAUUGGGUAUUCCCAAUGCUGGGAUUAGGGCCUGGCUGGGCAGAGAUUCGGGAUUGGGGUGGCUCAGGGAGUGCAAGCAUCCAUCGGUGCAGGGAGGAUUGGGAUAAUUCCCUCCUGUGCUGGAGGGAUGCAGCAGGAAAGCUGCUUCAGGAACAGGAAUAGCUGAAAGAACUAAAUAUGGAAACUUGGAUAAAGCAGCGCUGAAGGAGGGAGAUGGUUUCCUAACGGGAUUCAAAGCAUAUAAACAAACUCAGGGAGGAGGGAGGUUGUCCAGAGGGGCCUUGGUGAGGAAGAGUUUGGAGAACCAGCUGGAAUUCUCUCAGCAGGGAAGGCUUUUCCGUGAAAUUUCCAGCUUUGUGGAGGAAGUGCCACCCCUGGGAACACAUUGUCGGGGGGGAAGAGAUAAUGAAAAAACCAGCCCUAAAAGAUUCUCUGUGGGAUUUUUUUUCCAGCUGCUUUUUGAUGAUAGGAGUGGAGAUCUCAGUUCCAUUGGAAGCUUUUUGCUCCCUUUGGUUUUUCUGGGAUCACCACCCUCACACUGAGAAAGCUUUGGCACUGCAGACUCCAGGCUGUGUGGCACUCACGAUUUCCUGGGAAUUUCUUCCCUGGAUGGACAAACCCCAAAGCUCAGAUGUGCCCUGAGAUCCCAUCAGAGCUCUCCCAUCUCCAAUGUCUCUUAAUUCCUUAAGGAGCUCGGCUUUGCCGGCUCCUCAUCACCUCCAGCUUUCCCUUUUGGGUUUGUGCCGGCGCCACGGGGCGGCUUAACGCGAUUAUCCCGCCACAACGGCCCUAAGAGGAUUCCAGCCUCAGCUCAGGGUGGGGACAGGGAUGAUCCUGCUGCAUGGAGGUGGGGGAGCCUGUGAGGGUGACCCCGGGAUCUGCAGCCCCCGCGGGUGCCACGAGCUGCCGUUCCUUGGCGUAGGGUGGGAAAUGCUCAUGGGUGGAUCCUGGAGAGAGGGGAGAUGGAGACACAGGGAAAGGGUGGGAAUGUCGGCGCUCUGGGGAGUCCUGGGGCUUCCCAGGAGGUUUUGGGACUUCUCAGGGAGGUCCUGAACCUUUCCAGAGGGCUGAGGUUUUGCAGGAGGGUCCUGGAGCUGCUCUGGAGCAUCCUGGAGCUUCCCAGGAAUGUCCUGGGGCUGCCCAGGGAGGUGCUGGGGGCUCCCAGGAGAGUCCUGGAGUUGCCCAGGAAGGUGUUGGUGCUUUCCAGGUUUAGGACAUCCCAGGGAGGUCCUGAAGCUUUCCAGAGGGCUCAGGCUUCCAGGAGGCUCCUGGAGCUGCUCUGGAACACUCUGGAGCUUCCCAGGAACGUCCUAGGGCUGCCCAGGGAGGUGCUGCAGCUUCCCAGGAGGGUCCUGGAGCUUUCCAGGGGACCGAGAUUUCCCAAAAGGAUCCUGGAGCUGUCCUGGGGUAUCCUGGGGUUUCCCAGGAGGGUGCUGGGGAUUCCCAAGAGUGUCCUGGAGCUUUCCAGAAGACUGAGCCUUCCCAGAAAGGUUCUGGAGCUCUUCUGGGGCAUCCUGGGGCUCCCCAGGAGAUUUUGGGACUUCCCAGGAUGUUCCUGGAGUUUUCCAGAAAACCGAGAUUUCCCAGAAGGGUUCUGGAGCUGUUCUGGGGCUCCCCAGGAGAUUUUGGGACUUCCCAGGAUGUUCCUGGAGUUUUCCAGAAAACCAAGAUUUCCCAGAAGGGUUCUGGAGCUGUUCUGGGGCUCCCCAGGAGAUUUUGGGGCUUCCCAGGAGGUUCCCGGAGCUCUCCAGAGGACUGAGGCUUCCCAAAAAGAUCCUGGAGCUGCUCUGGAGGCUCUGAGGAUGCUCUGGAGGUCCUGCAGCUGCAUUUAGAGAAGGAGAAGCUGCACCUGGAGAAGGGUUAUGGAAAGGGGCUGCUUUAGGGCAGGAUUGGGAAUCCCAAGGGGGAAUAACCCUGCCCUGGGAUGGUGCCAGUCCCUGCCCUGGCUGUGGGAUGAGCCCUGGCCCCUCUGGAAGUGCCCAGUGGGAUGAGUUCUGCAGCUGGGUCAGCUCCUUCCCUGCUGGAGGCCAUGUCCCACUUCUGGCAGGAGCAGGAGCUGUGUGGAGACCUGGAAAAAUCUCCUGGCAGGAGCAAUCAGGUCACCAGUGCUCCCCAGUUGGAUACUGGGACAGCCAGCGGGUUGAACUGGGUGCUCUCCUGGGAAAUCCUCUCCCCAGCAAAGGAGGAAUAUUGGGAAUGAGGCCUCCCAGUCGGAGUAUCUCAGCUUCCAGUGCUGAUCCUAAAGUUUUGGGGGAUUUUUCCUGAUUCCUGUCAGCUCUUUGUUAGGAAAUGAGGGCUGGGAGAAUGAGGGAGAGCAGGAUUCCUUUGGGAAUUCCCAUCUGGAGCUGAAAAGGGAAAAUUUCCCAGAACACAGAUUCAAACCUGAGCACAAAAGGGAUCUGGACCCUGGAUCAUCCCUCAGGAAUUUUGGGCUCCCAAGGGAUCCUCUGGCAACGCCCAUAGCUCAAAUUAUCUUCCCAGGGGUUUCAUUUCAAAGCAGAAGGGUUAAAAAAUUCAAUGUCCAGGCACAAAUAUAUUCCUAAAUAUCCUUAAAUAUUAUAUGGAUCAUCCCAGCUCAGACAGACACCGGGUGGGAGGUGACACAAAGGGUCAGGCCCCAAAACCUGGCCCUAAAUGGCUCCUUUUUCCUGCAGAUCCACAAAGCAGCGUGCCCAUGCCCAGAAAGAAUUUCUCUCCAGGUUUUCCCGUGCCUGUGGAUUUGUGCUUGUUUGGGAUCAAUCCAGAGUGCUGCUGGAACGGGAAUCCCGGGGGAUGGCGGGGGCUGAGCUGGGAAGGGCCAGCCCGGUUCUUCCUCCAUCCCAACCAAACCCCACAGCUCCCAAAUCCACUCUGGGGUGCAGGGGGAAGUGUUGGAGGGAUGGGAUGAGCAGGUGGAAGGUGCUGGAUGGGUCCAAACUCAUGAAAAGCGCCGCUGAAUUUGUGCUAAAUCACUUUCUCCUUUAUUUUUUUUUUUCCCCCUCCUUGUUUCUUGUUUUCCUUGGCUGCUGCACGUUCCGGGCAGGCUGACAGGGAGCUCUGUGGAGCUGCAAUCCCUGUGGGAAAAGCUGAGCAGCUCCAGACAAUGGAUCCAUUGCUGCUGGGAAAGGGAGCAGGUGGGGAGGAAACGGAGCCGCACAAAGAGGAGGAUGAGGAGGAGGAGGAAGAGGAGGAGGAGCAAGGGGGGAUUGUCCAGAAAUCCCUGGAGAGGGGCUGGAUGCAAGCUGGGUGCUCUGACAGCUGGGCCUGGCAGCAGCAGCAGCAGCAGGGCUGGGUAAUUAAUUAAUAAAUGAGGCUUUUCCCAGGGAAUUGUGAGGAUGGAUCAGAAGGAAAUGGCUCAGAAAUUCGGGAAUUCAAAAACAAAAA